GGAGGGAUGGCAGAGCGGCUGAAUGCACUGGUCUUGAAAACCAGCAAGGACUAAUAUCCUUCUAGGGUUCAAAUCCCUAUCCCUCCACCA
RNAcentral lists this transfer RNA (90 nucleotides) under Candidatus Thioglobus sp. RNAcentral's name for it is "tRNA-Ser". It matches the Rfam family "tRNA". Rfam says of the family: Transfer RNA (tRNA) molecules are approximately 80 nucleotides in length. Their secondary structure includes four short double-helical elements and three loops (D, anti-codon, and T loops). The record is from RNAcentral. Lineage: Bacteria; Pseudomonadati; Pseudomonadota; Gammaproteobacteria; Pseudothioglobaceae (SeqCode).